Molecule: ribosomal RNA, 253 nt
Filed under: uncultured bacterium
Lineage: Bacteria
Description: partial 16S ribosomal RNA
Rfam family: Bacterial small subunit ribosomal RNA
Source: RNAcentral
UUCGUAGGCAGCCAGCGUUAUUCGGAAUUACUGGGCGUAAAGCGUGCGUAGGCGGUUGGCUAAGUUUGGUGUGAAAUCUCCCGGCUUAACUGGGAGGGUGCGCCGAAAACUGGCUGGCUAGAGUGUGGGAGAGGGAAGUGGAAUUCCUGGUGUAGCGGUGAAAUGCGUAGAUAUCAGGGGGAACACCUGAGGUGUAGGCGGCUUCCUGGACCAUUACUGACGCUGAGGCACGAAAGCGUGGGGAGCAAACAGG